AUCGCCUGGAAACACAACAAGAUUACUGACAAUCUCCCCCCUUCCCCUCAACGAACCGCCAGUUUGCACUCUUAUCCCCAACUCCCUUUACUAUCGAACUGCACGGGCUUCUACAAACCCAACUGCCAGCUCCGGUUGCCCCCAGCCCUCUGGCGAACAGAACACUCAGCACCACACAAAUCUCCUCUCCAGAGGUCUCAUUUCCACUGCCAUAUUUGAGAAGGCCACAUGACCAACAGGAAGAAAUGCCACAAGGGGCACCACUAUGAGAAUCUUUGCAUCAGCUAAUUCUUCAUGAAACCCCUUCUUUGAGGUCUGAGAAUUACAGAAAUUAUAUGGUGGAAGAAGACAAGCAACAUCUUCAGCAGUCAUGGCCUGUGGCCCACUGUUAUAAUGGAAGUUGCAUGCAAAUAUCAUAUUGUGAAUAUUAAAAUAUACAAAAAUGUCCAUGACCCAUGUCAUAAUACAUUUGGUCCAGACCAAUUACUUAUGCUGUCCUAAAAUUUAUUCUUGCCAAGCAUCUACUUGCCAAAGAACAACUUGAUAAAGAAGUCUGA
Molecule: long non-coding RNA, 557 nt
Organism: Hemicordylus capensis (graceful crag lizard)
Lineage: Eukaryota; Metazoa; Chordata; Lepidosauria; Squamata; Cordylidae
Exons: 3
Source: RefSeq, a predicted model, not a curated record